Molecule: ribosomal RNA, 702 nt
Filed under: Triticum aestivum (bread wheat)
Lineage: Eukaryota; Viridiplantae; Streptophyta; Magnoliopsida; Poales; Poaceae
Description: partial small subunit ribosomal RNA
Source: RNAcentral
AUGAGCUUCUACAGCCUCCAUGAAUCUCUCCAUAAGGAGAUCGCCAAGAUUCAGUCCCGAUUCUACUGGGCUGGCGAACCGGGCAAGCAAAAGUAUCACAUGGUCAGCUGGCCGGACAUCUGCAAGCCCAGGGAGCAGGGUGGAUUAGGCAUCAUGUGCUCUAAAUGGAUGAACAUCGCCCUUCUCUCCUGUUGGCUUUGGCGUAUCGCGCAGGGUCAGGGUGGCCUCUGGCUGGACAUUAUCCGGAAUAAAUACCUGCGUGGUCAACCCCUUGCCUUCUGCCAGAAAUCGGGCGGCUCUCAGUUUUGGCAGUCUCUCGUCCAACUCCUACCGGUGCUCCGCAUUGGUACCUCUAUCUCGGUGGGGUCCGGCCUCUCGACGCUUUUCUGGUUCGACCGUUGGGCCGGAGACUCGCCCUUCGCGGCCCGCUUCCCCACCCUCUUCCCUAUCUCUGUCGACCCUAUGAUUUCUGUUGAUAGGGCCCUUAGUGACUUAGGGCGCCUUGCUUUCCGCCGUCCUUUUGGGCCGGCGGAAUCCGCCGCAUGGCGUGAGUUACUUGACUGCGUUGCUCUUCACGAGCCGUUGGUGGAUGACGACCAGGACCUUAUGCGCUGGUGGCUGGAGCCGUCUGGCCAGUUCUCCACCAAAUCGCUUUACUUGACCAUUGCUCCCUCAUCCGCCCCCCUCCCCCUGUCCCACUGA